CACCCUUCUUUGCCCUACAUUGUCUUGUUCUUGUACCUGCUGUGGCACUGCCUCACACAUGUGUCCCAGAACAGAAGUGUUUAAAGUAGGAGAACCUUAGACAGCUUCUCAUGCCUGUGCUUUGUUCUGUUCUGUGCAUAUCUUACUCUACUUAUCCCUACUCAAGGAAGAUAUAGAUUCUAUCUAGAUCAGUCUGGCCUUGAAAUCACACAGGUAGGCCUGACUCUGCAUCCAGAGUGCUGGAUCAUAGGUACUUGCCAUGUCCACCAAGCUUAUCUCUACUCUGAGCUUUCUUUUUUAUUUUAAUUUCAUUUUACAUACCAACCACAGUUAACCUCCAUACCCUCUUCCUGCUACUUACUCCCCCACUCCCAUCCACACUUCAGAGAGGUUAAACAACCUUGGUGCAGUGAGGAGGGGCUUGGACCUGCCUAGGCUCAGUGUGCUGGGCUCUGCUGACUUCAGAGAGGUUAAAUAAAGCCUCCCUUGGGGAGUCAGCAAAAUCUAGCAUAUCAAGUUGAGGCUUCCCUGUGUUUUGUGUGACAUCUUGGGAUUACUAAUGUAGUACAGGGUUCAUCUCUGAAUAAGAUUGUUUCUUAAUUUAAUAACUGGUUAAAUUGAUUCUUAAGUGAAUACUUCCUCAGUAACUGUUAAUUUCUUGUUACUGUUUAGUUGGAAAUUAUUGGGAGAAUUUCCCUACACAUUGGUGUGUCACUUCUUGUCCAGAGAACUACUCACUAUGGAGUACCCAGCCUCAGCUGAUAAGAUCCAACACAACCAGUGCUCAUAAGAUGUAGGAAAUGCUGUGGAAGAUGGGCUGGACAGAUUUUAAGAGCCAGGGAUCAGAAGAGGAUAUGGUUUCCUAUAUUUGACAGGGAACCUUUACCUAGACUGAUCUCAACAGUGUGGUGUCUAAAAAUGGCUUGGGAUAUGAUGUCUUGUACCUUUUUAUUUAAAAUCUGUGGUUCUCUGAAACAUUAAGUUUCAAACUACCUCCAGAGUCAUCGCUUCCACUUGUCUUCUUUUAUUUCCAUAUUUUCUAACCGCUGCUAAGAAAAAAAUCUAAAUAUAACAAUCAACUGGAGAUAUCAACAUCAAUAGAAUCCCCAUUAAACAAAGAUUUAAAAGCAUAGUUAAAAAUAAGGGAGAAGUGAUCAAAAGAAGUGUGUUAAAGUUUCUUUCCUUACCUGCCAUGGUUGGAGAGAGAGUAUCAGCAAUCCACAGUACAAUGGAGCAAGAGAAUUGGUUAUUCUUGUCUGAUCAGCUGACCUGAGUGGCAAGUGUGUCCGGUAUCAGACAGCACUUACUGGUGACUGGGCACAGGUGACCUGUGAUGAUCCAAAUUUGUUUACAGGCAUCACCAUGGAAAUCCCAAGAAGUACCAGGUGGUGGUGGGGUUGGAGGGGAAAUGAUGUCAUAAAUGGGGUUGGAGGGGAAAUGAUGUCAUAAAUGGGGCAGCAGCCAAUGGGAAGGUUGGAUUCUGAGCUAAAAGUUGGAAUUGGUUGGAGAGGAUGCCAGGAGACCAACAGUAGUCAUGGAAGCUGAGGUGUGGACUAGUGAAUGGAGGCAAUACUGGUAUGAAAGUACCCCUUCCCAUGAGUGAGGACUUUGGAUUUCUUCUUCUGCUGCUUUGGCUUCUGACAAGUAUUCCAAGACCACAGCCUUAUGUUGCAGAUGGCUCUCAAAAGUCUUGCUGGCUCCAGUGAAGUAUGCUCUGCUUCAGGAAGGCCCUCACAAAGGCCUCAGCCCGCUGGCUUCCCAGCUCCUGCUCGGAAACAUGGUGGUGUGGUUUACUGUUCUGUUCUCAGACUCCGGGGUCCUCAUGUCCAGUUCCCGAGAGCCACCAUUUUUGCUGAUCUAGGCUACAAAUCCCUUGUCUUCCAAGUGUUUGCUACAGACAACUACCAAGAUGUAAAAGUAACACUCACAUGCUAACUGUGACACUGUCCUACACUGUAGCCAGGUCAAACACUGACUUCCUGUCCUGUUUCUCUGAGGUAACUCUAUUGAGCAUUCAAAAUCCUUUGUAACACAAGACUUCUCUAAUCCUUGUGGGGAAGGAAGCUUGAGAAAUGGAUGAUACAGGUUAUUUAAUAAGUCAUGACCACAAGACUAGCUUGAAGUGGAAGGGAGCUGGGGGUGUUAGGGAAAUAGCCAUUCCAGAACUAGGGGAAAUUGCCUGGGGGUUCCAGGCAGGUCAAGGAGGAGGAAAUCUGAUACUGAGCACCACAGUCCCCUUUCCUUGCUUUUCAGCCUUGUGGCCUCCAUGUGGCUGCUGUUGGAGAGGUCUGCUCCAGUCCCCCUUGAGGCAGAAAGCGUGAAGUGCAUCUCGGGCACUACUCACUCUCAUCCACAGGACUGUAAUACCCUAGGGAAGAGCAGGUGAAACCACUUCACUGUUGCACCCAGUCCUGAGAAACUGUAGUGUCACCACCUCUCAAGUUGGGGCAGCAACAGUCUAUUCUUCACUGGGCAGCAGGCAUCUCACUUGGCCUUCAUCUGCUGCAACCCGGACAGUGCUCUUUCCUGAGGACCUACCUCUUGGCUGGACCAUUUGCUGGGCUCUUUUUGCACUAACCAGACAGUAAAAACAAGUCUGAGGCUAACUGCUAGCUUUAUUUAGGUUAAUAUAUCAACAGUAACCCGAUAUCCUCUCUCUGCUAAAGCAGGGGGUAAAAAGACAGAACACACCAUCUUUGAGGCAGUUCAAAGUCGGGAUGGCUAAACAAUCUAUCAUCAAUAUCAGAACAAUUUGGUUCUUUUAAACUCAUAUGUAGUCUCUCUUUCAUGGGGAAAUAAAAUCAAGGCCUUUUAAAAUCUUGAUUUCAAGGAUAUUCUCUCUCUUUUGCUUUUUGAGACAGGGUUUCUCUGUAUAUCCCUAGUUGUCUUUAAACCCAGAGAACUGCCUGCCUCUGCCUCCCAAGAACUGGGAUUAAAGGCAUGCGCCACACAGCCUGGUAGGGCAUGUGUUCUUUAUGAGACACAGGUGACAUGUCCACCCAUCUGACAAAGCAUGCUGAAGCAUCCAGACAGAAUUUUUAACAUUCACUUAUGAAAUGGCCUGAACACUGAACACAGAAGCAAGAGCAAGUCAGGUUUCAGGUAGGCUCUGGCUGUCAUUCCCCUGGAGUGGAAGAUGACAUGAAAUCUAGGAGUCCAAGUCCCUCAGAGCUGACUCUGGUACCCUAAGAAAGUAGUCUGGCACAAGAAGACAUCAGCACAAAAGACCUCGAUGGGGCCUAAUAUGCUGACUGUAAAGGUGAAGAGUAAUCCAUGGGAAAGGACAGCUAGACCAGUCUUAGAAGACACUGAACCAUUUUUGCUAUCAAGUCUACUGCUCCCAGCCCACCUUUGAAAGACUGUACCUGUACAUCGUGCUCCUUGGCUUCUUUAUGAGAAAAGGCAUGGUAAAUCACAGCUGGGGAUGAAAGACAAAAAUAGAAGAUUACUUCCUGUUAGGAAUGAGUGUAAUAUCCAAGGCUCUUCUAAGUAUGACCAAAACUACACUUAUUUAGAGACGGAAUACUUGGUUAGUGAAAGGACCAAGCAGAUGCCAUAACAGGCUGCUCAGUCUUCUCUCAGAGAUCAGGCCUCAAUUUCAGUUUCCUGAGACUUGAGCAAACAGUUUCUGGGAGGGCCAUGAACAAAAGACAUAGUCCUUGCAGUAGCUCCCUUUCUGCACGUACUCAGACUGCUCAAAGUUCAGCCAGAUGUUUACUCUCUGGGGCCCGUCACCAACUUAGAGUUAUGUGCAGUACGUGCUUGGCCAGCCAGCCCCCAUGGUGGCUCAAGGACAAAGCCUGGGACUUGUGCUGGACUGCCCCCAAAGUGAUAAAUUGUAACCAACAACCAGUAAAUUCAAAGGUUACAUACCCUCACCCAAUUGAAAGAGAACAGAGAUAAAAAUAAACCAAUCUGAGUUGCACCCGUGCAAAACUCCCCCAACCCCACUGAAGAGCUUGUGGAUUUUGCCUUUAAAAAGCUAGCCACACAAAGAAAAAGCAUGUUCCUCCUGGCCUCACGGUUACUAUGAGUGCUUUGGAUCGAGCUUCCCUGCCCGCGGCCUGUAAACAGAAAUAAACCUUGCUUUUGCAUUCUGUA
Molecule: long non-coding RNA, 4101 nt
Organism: Peromyscus eremicus (cactus mouse)
Lineage: Eukaryota; Metazoa; Chordata; Mammalia; Rodentia; Cricetidae
Exons: 2
Source: RefSeq, a predicted model, not a curated record